UCAAAAACAUGUCUAUAUGAAGGUGUAUAUAGUUUGGCCUGCUCACUGAUUAAAUUAAAGAGCCGCAGUAUUUUGACUGUGCGAAGGUAGCAUAAUAAAUUGUCUUUUAAAUAAAGGCUUGAAUGAAAGGUUGGACAAAGUAUCAUCUGUUUCUUAAAUAUUUAUUGAAUUUGACUUUUAAGUGAAAAGGCUUAAAUAAAACAAAAAGACGAUAAGACCCUAUAAAUCUUUACAAUAAAUAUAUUUUAUAUUUUAGCUUAUAAGUGUAUAAGAAAUAAAAAUAUARGUUUGUUGCGCUGGGGCGGCGUAGAUAUAUAAAUAAACUGUCUAUAAUUUAAAUACAAUAAUUAUUGCUUAAUACAAAUUGAUCCUUAAAUAGAUUAAAAGAUUAAGAUACUUUAGGGAUAACAGCGUUAUUUUUUUUGAGAGUUCUUAUCGAAGAAAAAGUUUGCGACCUCGAUGUUGAAUUAAAGUAUCUCUAUGGUGUAGCCGCUAUAAGAGAGAGUCUGUUCGACUUUUAAUACUUUACGUGAUCUGA
RNAcentral lists this ribosomal RNA (538 nucleotides) under Neolithodes asperrimus. RNAcentral's name for it is "partial 16S ribosomal RNA". It matches the Rfam family "Bacterial large subunit ribosomal RNA", at positions 1807 to 2608 of the family's 2925-position model. Lineage: Eukaryota; Metazoa; Arthropoda; Malacostraca; Decapoda; Lithodidae. The record is from RNAcentral.